GAUGAACGCUGGCGGCGUGCCUAAUACAUGCAAGUCGAGCGAACAGACGAGGAGCUUGCUCCUUUGACGUUAGCGGCGGACGGGUGAGUAACACGUAGGUAACCUACCUAUAAGACUGGGAUAACUUCGGGAAACCGGAGCUAAUACCGGAUAAUAUUUCGAACCGCAUGGUUCGAUAGUGAAAGAUGGCUUUGCUAUCACUUAUAGAUGGACCUGCGCCGUAUUAGCUAGUUGGUAAGGUAACGGCUUACCAAGGCAACGAUACGUAGCCGACCUGAGAGGGUGAUCGGCCACACUGGAACUGAGACACGGUCCAGACUCCUACGGGAGGCAGCAGUAGGGAAUCUUCCGCUAUGGGCGAAAGCCUGACGGAGCAACGCCGCGUGAGUGAUGAAGGUCUUCGGAUCGUAAAACUCUGUUAUUAGGGAAGAACAAACGUGUAAGUAACUGUGCACGUCUUGACGGUACCUAAUCAGAAAGCCACGGCUAACUACGUG
This 497-nucleotide ribosomal RNA is filed under the name uncultured bacterium. RNAcentral describes it as "partial 16S ribosomal RNA". It matches the Rfam family "Bacterial small subunit ribosomal RNA", at positions 28 to 507 of the family's 1533-position model. The record is from RNAcentral.